RNAcentral lists this ribosomal RNA (803 nucleotides) under uncultured beta proteobacterium. RNAcentral's name for it is "bacterial SSU rRNA". It matches the Rfam family "Bacterial small subunit ribosomal RNA", at positions 58 to 858 of the family's 1533-position model. Lineage: Bacteria; Pseudomonadati; Pseudomonadota; Betaproteobacteria. The record is from RNAcentral.
CAAGUCGAACGCGAAAGGGGGGCAACCCCCGAGUAGAGUGGCGAACGGGUGAGUAAUACAUCGGAACGUACCCAGUAGCGGGGGAUAACCUCUCGAAAGAGAGGCUAAUACCGCAUACGACCUACGGGUGAAAGAGGGGGAUCGCAAGACCUCUCACUAUUGGAGCGGCCGAUGUCGGAUUAGCUAGUUGGCGGGGUAAAAGCCCACCAAGGCUACGAUCCGUAGCUGGUCUGAGAGGACGGCCAGCCACACUGGAACUGAGACACGGUCCAGACUCCUACGGGAGGCAGCAGUGGGGAAUUUUGGACAAUGGGCGCAAGCCUGAUCCAGCCAUGCCGCGUGAGUGAAGAAGGCCUUCGGGUUGUAAAGCUCUUUCGGCUGGGACGAAAAGAUUCGGGUUAACACCCCGGAUCCAUGACGGUACCAGCAGAAGAAGCACCGGCUAACUACGUGCCAGCAGCCGCGGUAAUACGUAGGGUGCAGGCGUUAAUCGGAAUUACUGGGCGUAAAGCGUGCGCAGGCGGUUUGCUAAGAGAGAUGUGAAAGCCCCGGGCUUAACCUGGGAACUGCGUUUCUAACUGGCAAGCUUGAGUGUGGCAGAGGGGGGGUGGAAUUCCACGUGUAGCAGUGAAAUGCGUAGAGAUGUGGAGGAACACCGAUGGCGAAGGCAGCCCCCUGGGCUAACACUGACGCUCAUGCACGAAAGCGUGGGGAGCAAACAGGAUUAGAUACCCUGGUAGUCCACGCCCUAAACUAUGUCAACUGGUUGUCGGGGAAGCAAUUCCUUGGUACGAAGCUAACGC